AAAUAGAACUUUGCAGAGAGAGUUAAGAGGGCGUGAAACCGUUAAUUGGCAAACGAAUCGGAGCCGCGAAGUCGUUUCGUCGAGCUAGGUCGGGUUCAGCUUGCAACCUUCGGGUUGCUGGCGUAUUCUCGUGCCAAGCCAAUGUAAGCGUACACUGCAACCAGUUAGACAAUUGUCCAUGGAACCAGUUGAUCUUGGAUGCGCAAGCAUCUAAGUUUAGCGAACGGUUUGUUUGGUCAGGUUAGUAGUAGUGUGCUGUGGACUUGUCCUCAGUGUGCUGCUGGAUCUGUUGCCAAGUGACCUAUGGGCAAAUACUGACUGGCAAAAUGAAAAUCGCGCGCAAGCGUGUGCACAAAUUGCGCCUUGUUGUAUGAUAGGCUACACAAUCCACCGUGGAUAUAUUAAAGUUCGGUGCUUUUGAAUUUGGACUUGCUAGCUACCAAUGGGGCAACUCUUGGUGCUAGUAUAGCUUCCAUCUAAUCGGGUGCUGGCUUGUAUUCACGUCGUUGUGGUUGUGCUACGAUCGGUCUACAUAUAAGCGAGUGCGUGAAAAUUGGCAGUGAGUAGGUCGGCUUUCCGAACGA
Molecule: ribosomal RNA, 584 nt
Filed under: Calacarus carinatus
Lineage: Eukaryota; Metazoa; Arthropoda; Arachnida; Trombidiformes; Eriophyidae
Description: partial 28S ribosomal RNA
Source: RNAcentral